ACGUUCUAUUAGCCAAAGCAGUCAUGGACUGAGUCAGUAUUCAAGAGAAGAAAUAAUCUUCAGUCCUGGACAAGGCUGUUCAUACAGGGAAGGAAGAAAUUUAUUGCAAAAAAUCAACUAUCACAGUCAACUCUCUGGCCACGACAAUGCACAUCUCUCUUAGUCUUUAGCUCCAAAGGGAAGAAUAUUUUCACCAAUAAGCACAAGUGAUUCCAUUGAUCUGGAAGUUAAGACGUACUACCCAGCCACUUUGAGCAACUUAUGCCUUUGAAUCAACAGAUAAGAAGGAAUUGCUGUUCUGGCUGGGGUGAUGGGUCCUGACCAACAAAGAUCUCGUAUAAAGGGCUCUCUUUGGAAAAACGGCAAUCCCAUCCCAAUACCUGGAAGUGAAGCAUGCUGGCAAACACAAUGGUCUUUCAGAACUCAUGAUAAUGGAGAGAAGGGAUGAUAAAUUCCAUGUUGAGCUCAGAUAACCCCUUUGGCUGCAUUAAAAGAAUCUCUUUCCUCAAGAUUUUAUUUUA
Long non-coding RNA from Canis lupus familiaris (dog), 521 nucleotides. RefSeq lists it as uncharacterized. Lineage: Eukaryota; Metazoa; Chordata; Mammalia; Carnivora; Canidae. The transcript is spliced from 3 exons. The record is from RefSeq and is a predicted model, not a curated record.